This 231-nucleotide long non-coding RNA is filed under the name Lathyrus oleraceus (garden pea). RNAcentral describes it as "Pisum sativum (pea) long non-coding RNA (PSAT_LNC032872)". Lineage: Eukaryota; Viridiplantae; Streptophyta; Magnoliopsida; Fabales; Fabaceae. The record is from RNAcentral.
UCAAUGCGUGCACAUGAGAAAGAAUUAAAAGUCAUAACAAGUAAGAGACGAGAUUAAAUCUGGAGAUUAGAUCACACGGUCCAGAUUUAAACUGGAGAGGAUGAAGCCACCGGAGCCACCGUCUUCUCCGGUGAGCUCCAGAAUUCCGGCCAAAUUGCAGAAAUUAAAACCUCAACCAAAUUGUGCGAUCUAUACAUCAAUAGAAAGCUGGGAUGAUGUACAUCAUUCCUG